Molecule: long non-coding RNA, 672 nt
Filed under: Cyanistes caeruleus (blue tit)
Lineage: Eukaryota; Metazoa; Chordata; Aves; Passeriformes; Paridae
Description: lncRNA (ENSCCEG00000023067.1)
Source: RNAcentral
UUCAGAAUUUUUCCAGUGAGAGAUUGUCCCAUCUUCUCACCUAUAAAAGGGCCUAAGUAAAUGAACAAUAUUUUUAAAUAAUGCUUUUGGAAGAUACAUGGCACCCUUUUGUUUUAUGUCAUCAAGAUGUUGGGCAGAUCAGAUACAAAUGACAGUAAUUUGUCCUAGGUGAUUGAAAAGCAGCUUUACAGUUUCCUUUCCUGAUUCAUGUUUCCAAGACUACCCUGGAUGCCCUCUAUGUUUCUGGCCAGUUUUCUUGUCAGCUUCCAAGGGAAGAUGUGAACCUGGAGCUCAAACCCAAACAAACAAGGAUGGACUAUGAUGGCUGGAGGAGUCUCUGUGUGGAGCCCCUUGCUCAGGCUGGCAGGCAGCUGCUCACCUGAACAGCUGCAAUGAUUUCAGUGUACAGGCUUUCUCCCCAGUGCGAGGUAAGUGCAUAACCUGGUUCAAAUCAUUAGUUAUAAACCCAUGUGCAGGUGAGCAAUAUUUUCUCUGAGGAUGGCAGAUGAUGAGUUAUCAGUAAUUGGAUGCAUCUGCUUAACCCAUGAUUACAGAAGGGUUAUAUGAACUGGCAAUGAGCUCUGUUGGGAUUGUACUCUGUUUAAAACAAGCUAAAAACAUGCACAUGUAAAGCUACCACAGCCCAGCUGAUGCAUGGUAAAUCUUUAACCU